UCCUUGCCUAGUCUACCAGCAAAUGACUUUUAGUUUGCCCUCCCGAAACUAAGUGAGCUACUUUAGGAUAGCCCCAGAGCUAACCCGUCUCUGUUGCAAAAGAGUGGGAAAAUCUUAAAGUAGAGGUGAUAGACCUAUCGAACUUAGAGAUAGCUGGUUUUUUAAGAAAAGAAUUUUAGUUCUACUUUAAAUUUUGUAUUAAACAAAAAUAUACCUAAAUUUAAAAGCUACUCAAAUAAGGCACAGCUUAUUUGAAACAGGACACAACCUAGAACUCAGGGUAAGAUAAAUUAAAUUUUAACAAGUGGGCCUAAAAGCAGCCAUCUUUCAAAAAGCGUCACAGCUUAGUGAUCACAAUCUAAUUAAUACCAAUAUUUACCUCCAACCCUCACACACUAUUAAAAAACUCCAUAAUAUUAUGGAAGCUACUAUGCUAGAACAAGUAACAAGAAAAAGACUUUCUCCAAAAUGUAGGCUUAAGCCAUAAUAGACACACUACUGGCAAUUAACGUCUAUAAAUUCACUGUAGCAACUCACACAAGAAAAUUUUACAACCCCCUGACGUUAAACUUACACUAGCACAUUAAUGGAAAGAUUAAAAGAGUAGGAAGGAACUCGGCAAAUAUAGAUCCCGCCUGUUA
Molecule: ribosomal RNA, 641 nt
Filed under: Boophis majori
Lineage: Eukaryota; Metazoa; Chordata; Amphibia; Anura; Mantellidae
Description: partial 16S ribosomal RNA
Rfam family: Bacterial large subunit ribosomal RNA (bases 1-438)
Source: RNAcentral